UCGAACGAAGCACUUUAUUUGAUUUCCUUCGGGACUGAUUAUUUUGUCACUGAGUGGCGGACGGGUGAGUAACGCGUGGGUAACCUGCCUUGUACAGGGGGAUAACAGUUGGAAACGGCUGCUAAUACCGCAUAAGCGCACAGCAUCGCAUGAUGCAGUGUGAAAAACUCCGGUGGUAUAAGAUGGACCCGCGUUGGAUUAGCUAGUUGGUGAGGUAACGGCCCACCAAGGCGACGAUCCAUAGCCGACCUGAGAGGGUGACCGGCCACAUUGGGACUGAGACACGGCCCAAACUCCUACGGGAGGCAGCAGUGGGGAAUAUUGCACAAUGGGCGAAAGCCUGAUGCAGCGACGCCGCGUGAGCGAAGAAGUAUUUCGGUAUGUAAAGCUCUAUCAGCAGGGAAGAUAAUGACGGUACCUGACUAAGAAGCACCGGCUAAAUACGUGCCAGCAGCCGCGGUAAUACGUAUGGUGCAAGCGUUAUCCGGAUUUACUGGGUGUAAAGGGAGCGCAGGCGGUGCGGCAAGUCUGAUGUGAAAGCCCGGGGCUCAACCCCGGUACUGCAUUGGAAACUGUCGUACUAGAGUGUCGGAGGGGUAAGCGGAAUUCCUAGUGUAGCGGUGAAAUGCGUAGAUAUUAGGAGGAACACCAGUGGCGAAGGCGGCUUACUGGACGAUAACUGACGCUGAGGCUCGAAAGCGUGGGGAGCAAACAGGAUUAGAUACCCUGGUAGUCCACGCCGUAAACGAUG
Molecule: ribosomal RNA, 751 nt
Filed under: uncultured bacterium
Lineage: Bacteria
Description: bacterial SSU rRNA
Rfam family: Bacterial small subunit ribosomal RNA
Source: RNAcentral